GGUAGGACAGAUGAUUAGGGUGAAGUCGUAACAAGGUAGCCGUAGGAGAACCUGCGGCUGGAUCACCUCCUUUCUAAGGAAG
This 82-nucleotide ribosomal RNA is filed under the name Lactobacillus johnsonii. RNAcentral's name for it is "partial 16S ribosomal RNA". The stretch from base 1 to 73 matches the Rfam family "Bacterial small subunit ribosomal RNA", at positions 1461 to 1533 of the family's 1533-position model. The record is from RNAcentral. Lineage: Bacteria; Bacillati; Bacillota; Bacilli; Lactobacillales; Lactobacillaceae.